RNAcentral lists this ribosomal RNA (459 nucleotides) under uncultured bacterium. RNAcentral's name for it is "partial 16S ribosomal RNA". It matches the Rfam family "Bacterial small subunit ribosomal RNA", at positions 338 to 795 of the family's 1533-position model. The record is from RNAcentral.
CCUACGGGAGGCAGCAGUGAGGAAUAUUGGUCAAUGGGCGCGAGCCUGAACCAGCCAAGUAGCGUGAAGGAUGACUGCCCUACGGGUUGUAAACUUCUUUUAUAAAGGAAUAACGUGAGGCACGUGUGCAUUUUUGUAUGUACUUUAUGAAUAAGGAUCGGCUAACUCCGUGCCAUCAGCCGCGGUAAUACGGAGGAUGCGAGCGUUAUCCGGAUUUAUUGGGUUUAAAGGGUGCGUAGGCGGAUCGUUAAGUCAGUGGUCAAAUUGAGGGGCUCAACCCCUUCCCGCCAUUGAAACUGGCGUUCUUGAGUGGAAGAGAAGUAUGCGGAAUGCGUGGUGUAGCGGUGAAAUGCAUAGAUAUCACGCAGAACCCCGAUUGCGAAGGCAGCAUGCCGGCUUCCGACUGACGCUGAAGCACGAAAGCGUGGGGAUCGAACAGGAUUAGAUACCCCUGUAGUC